GAUGAACGCUGGCGGCGUGCCUAAUACAUGCAAGUCGAGCGAACGGACGAGAAGCUUGCUUCUCUGAUGUUAGCGGCGGACGGGUGAGUAACACGUGGAUAACCUACCUAUAAGACUGGGAUAACUUCGGUAAACCGGAGCUAAUACCGGAUAAUAUUUUGAACCUCAUGGUUCAAAAGUGAAAGACGUUCUUGCUGUCACUUAUAGAUGGAUCCGCGGUGCAUUAGCUCGUUGGUAAUGUAACGGCUUACCAAGUCAACGAUGCAUAGCCGACCUGAGAGAGUGAUCUGCCACACUGGAACUGCGACACGGUCAAGAAUGCUAAGGGAGGCAGCAGUAGGGAAUCUUCCGCAAUGGGCGAAAGCCUGACGUAGCAACGCCGCGUGAGUGAUGAAGGUCUUCGGAUCGUAAAACUCUGUUAUUAGGGAAGAACAUAUGUGUAAGUAACUGUGCACCUCUUGACGGUACCUAAUCAGAAAGGCACGGCUAACUACGUG
RNAcentral lists this ribosomal RNA (497 nucleotides) under uncultured bacterium. RNAcentral's name for it is "partial 16S ribosomal RNA". It matches the Rfam family "Bacterial small subunit ribosomal RNA", at positions 28 to 507 of the family's 1533-position model. The record is from RNAcentral.